UCGGGAAUUUUGGGCAAUGGGCGAAAGCCUGACCCAGCAACGCCGCGUGAAGGAUGAAGUAUUUCGGUAUGUAAACUUCGAAAGAAUGGGAAGAAUCAAUGACGGUACCAUUUAUAAGGUCCGGCUAACUACGUGCCAGCAGCCGCGGUAAUACGUAGGGACCAAGCGUUGUUCGGAUUUACUGGGCGUAAAGGGCGCGUAGGCGGCAAUUCAAGUCAUCUGUGAAAUCUCCGGGCUUAACUCGGAACGGUCAGAUGAUACUGCUUUGCUAGAGUGCAGAAGGGGCAAUCGGAAUUCUUGGUGUAGCGGUGAAAUGCGUAGAUAUCAAGAGGAACACCUGAGGUGAAGACGGGUUGCUGGGCUGACACUGACGCUGAGGUGCGAAAGCGUGGGGAGCAAACAGGAUUAGAUACCCAAGUAGUCCCUGAGCGGGCUGGCAAGGCGCAU
This 447-nucleotide ribosomal RNA is filed under the name uncultured bacterium. RNAcentral's name for it is "bacterial SSU rRNA". It matches the Rfam family "Bacterial small subunit ribosomal RNA", at positions 355 to 825 of the family's 1533-position model. The record is from RNAcentral.